UACGUAGGUGGCAAGCGUUGUCCGGAUUUAUUGGGUUUAAAGGGUGCGUAGGCGGCCCUGUAAGUCAGUGGUGAAAUACUCCAGCUUAACUGGAGGGGUGCCAUUGAUACUGCAGGGCUUGAGUGGAGUCGAAGUAGGCGGAAUUGACGGUGUAGCGGUGAAAUGCUUAGAUAUCGUCAAGAACACCGAUAGUGAAGACAGCUCACUAGGCUUCUACUGACGCUGAGGCACGAAAGUGUGGGGAUCAAACAGG
RNAcentral lists this ribosomal RNA (253 nucleotides) under uncultured bacterium. RNAcentral's name for it is "partial 16S ribosomal RNA". It matches the Rfam family "Bacterial small subunit ribosomal RNA", at positions 524 to 776 of the family's 1533-position model. The record is from RNAcentral.